AACGAACGCUGGCGGCAUGCCUAACACAUGCAAGUCGAACGAGACCUUCGGGUCUAGUGGCGCACGGGUGCGUAACGCGUGGGAACCUGCCCUUAGGUUCGGAAUAACUCCCCGAAAGGGGUGCUAAUACCGGAUAAUUUCUUCGGACCAAAGAUUUAUCGCCUUUGGAUGGGCCCGCGUUGGAUUAGCUAUUUGGUAGGGUAAAAGCCUACCAAGGCGACGAUCCAUAGCUGGUCUGAGAGGAUGAUCAGCCACACUGGGACUGAGACACGGCCCAGACUCCUACGGGAGGCAGCAGUGGGGAAUAUUGGACAAUGGGCGAAAGCCUGAUCCAGCAAUGCCGCGUGAGUGAUGAAGGCCUUAGGGUUGUAAAGCUCUUUUACCCGGGAUGAUAAUGACAGUACCGGGAGAAUAAGCGCCGGCUAACUCCGUG
Molecule: ribosomal RNA, 433 nt
Filed under: uncultured bacterium
Lineage: Bacteria
Description: partial 16S ribosomal RNA
Rfam family: Bacterial small subunit ribosomal RNA
Source: RNAcentral